UACCGAGAGUUGUAGGCUUCUGUCUACCAUCUCUUACCCAUGUCUUUUGCGUACUAUACGUUUCCUCGGCAGGUCCGCCUGCCGUUAGGACAAACUUAAACCAUUUGCAGUUGCAGUCAGCGUCUGAAAAACUUAAUAAUUACAACUUUCAACAACGGAUCUCUUGGUUCUGGCAUCGAUGAAGAACGCAGCGAAAUGCGAUAAGUAGUGUGAAUUGCAGAAUUCAGUGAAUCAUCGAAUCUUUGAACGCACAUUGCGCCCCUUGGUAUUCCAUGGGGCAUGCCUGUUCGAGCGUCAUUUGUACCUUCAAGCUCUGCUUGGUGUUGGGUGUUUGUCCCGCCUCUGUGCGUGGACUCGCCUUAAAGCAAUUGGCAGCCGGCGUAUAGAUUUCGGAGCGCAGCACAAAACGCGCUUUGUUAGCAAUACGGUGGCAUCCAUCAAGACUUUUUUUAACUCUUGACCUCGGAUCAGGUAGGGAUACCCGCUGAACUUAAGCAUA
This 499-nucleotide ribosomal RNA is filed under the name uncultured fungus. Its description in RNAcentral is "eukaryotic LSU rRNA". The stretch from base 144 to 297 matches the Rfam family "5.8S ribosomal RNA". The record is from RNAcentral. Lineage: Eukaryota; Fungi.